RNAcentral lists this long non-coding RNA (392 nucleotides) under Prunus dulcis (almond). RNAcentral describes it as "sRNA ncRNA". The record is from RNAcentral. Lineage: Eukaryota; Viridiplantae; Streptophyta; Magnoliopsida; Rosales; Rosaceae.
UCUAAAAACAAACUUACCAUGUCCCUUAAUUUGGUUCUUGUGCUUUGCCUUUUCCUCAUCAUCUCCUUUGCUGAGGGCAAACAACUAGGCAGUAAGUUUUACAACAUUAGAGUUUUAAUUAUCUAGUUAUAGCUGAUAAUCAAUCUUUGGUCUUCUUCAAUAUUUCCUUUUGUGUUUGAAUUUUCUUUUGAAUUUUUAAUGGUGCAGUUGGGUUUCAUGUGAAAGCCACUCCAAGAUGCCAAAAAGUUUAUGGGGUAGAAGCUGGUGAUACUUGCAAUGGGAUCACGCAGAAGUUCAAACUGAAUGCUGAGUUCUUUGCAAUCAAUCCUAACAUCAAUUGCAACAGCAUCUUUGUGGGUCAAUGGCUUUGUAUUGUUGGGACAGCAAAAUAA